RNAcentral lists this ribosomal RNA (468 nucleotides) under uncultured bacterium. RNAcentral's name for it is "partial 16S ribosomal RNA". It matches the Rfam family "Bacterial small subunit ribosomal RNA", at positions 28 to 507 of the family's 1533-position model. The record is from RNAcentral.
GACGAACGCUGGCGGCGUGCUUAACACAUGCAAGUCGAACGGUGAUGCUCCAGCUUGCUGGUGUGGAUCAGUGGCGAACGGGUGAGUAACACGUGAGCAACCUGCCCCAGACUCUGGAAUAAGCGCUGGAAACGGCGUCUAAUACUGGAUACGAUACUGGCCCGCAUGGGCAUGGUUUGGAAAGUUUUUCGGUUUGGGAUGGGCUCGCGGCCUAUCAGCUUGUUGGUGAGGUAAUGGCUCACCAAGGCGACGACGGGUAGCCGGCCUGAGAGGGCGACCGGCCACACUGGGACUGAGACACGGCCCAGACUCCUACGGGAGGCAGCAGUGGGGAAUAUUGCACAAUGGGCGAAAGCCUGAUGCAGCGACGCCGCGUGAGGGAUGACGGCCUUCGGGUUGUAAACCUCUUUCAGCAGGGAAGAAGCGAAAGUGACGGUACCUGCAGAAGAAGCACCGGCUAACUACGUG